This 63-nucleotide non-coding RNA is filed under the name Synechocystis sp. PCC 6803. Its description in RNAcentral is "Nitrogen stress-induced RNA 4". It matches the Rfam family "Nitrogen stress-induced RNA 4". Rfam says of the family: Former name SyR12, is a cyanobacterial non-coding RNA which plays role in the regulation of Glutamine synthetase (GS), a key enzyme in biological nitrogen assimilation. NsiR4 interacts with the 5'UTR of the mRNA of the GS inactivating factor IF7 (gifA mRNA) and reduces its expression. NsiR4 expression is under positive control of the nitrogen control transcription factor (NtcA). The record is from Rfam by way of RNAcentral. Lineage: Bacteria; Bacillati; Cyanobacteriota; Cyanophyceae; Synechococcales; Merismopediaceae.
AAGACAUAAAGUCAAUAUCACCCUCCGAUUGCUAGAGGUCGCCCAUUGCUUCAGUGGCGGCUU